UGAACUUGUUAUCCUCCUGAAUUAGCAUUCAGAAUCACUGAGAUUAUAAGCAUGUAUUACCACAUCAUGCAGGGCUAUAUUAUCUGAUGUUCUUAAGGACCCCAAGGUCCUAUAAUGUUUGUGAUGGCAUAACUAAAUAAAAUCUAGUAAAAAUCCCCAAAUCUUUUCUACUAUAAUGUAAGAGUCUUCUCUGGGAACUUUCUAGAAGCAUUUCCAAAAGGACAAAUGAUUUAUUUAAAUUUUAUCAGUUUCUCUUUCCCUGCCUACUAGUUAGCAGAAAAGUAAUUAAAGGCAGAUGUUGGAGAAUGAUCAGGAAGGUAAAAGGAUUUAAAGUUCAGCCAAAGGAACUGGGAUUGGAGGAACCCAGGGGAGAGAGGUUGCUUAGUGAUAAAAGAGAAAAUCCACUACGGGUAAGAAACCUGGCUUUUAAUAAAAAGACAGAUGGAAAUCGUAAGUUGCAGCACAUUUGUUCAUCAGAGAGAAAGAAAUGCUAAAAGGAGGAUGCACAUUCAGUUUAAGCCAAAAAAAAAAAGUUCUUUCUCUGAAUUAUAGAUUUCUAAAAAUAUAGCAUUUGCUAGAGAGCAUCCUAACGAUACACAUGUCCAAGAAGACUGGCUUGAGGGAAAAUAGAAGAAGUGAAGGAAGAAUUGGAUUGAAUUUCUGAGCUGAAGCCCUCUAGUCCUGACAUUCUGUGACUAUAUCAAUACAGGCUAGACUUUGGAAAUGCAGUCUAAAGGCCUGACUGAUUUUUGUCUAAAGCUUACUAAUAUAUCUGCAUUUCCGGAAAUAUCUAGCUACUAAGAAUUGUCUCAGACAAUGCAGAGUUGUUUUUUAAAAAAAUAUUUAUGCUGGUCUCUAAUACCUACAUACACAAGAUCUAAUAUUGACUGUUAAUUCUCCAUAGUGUGUGUAGAUUUUAUCAAAGUAUACAAACUUUGUCACUGUGGAAAGACAGGCUUCAAGUCCUGUUUCUCAGAGAAGAUAAACCCCCAUACCUGGGAAGCAUUCUGUGAUUAAACUUUUAAGGGUAACUAUGUGCCAAGCUAGAUGCACAGUAGGUGCUGACAAAGAUUUAUUGAGGGAAUGAGAGGGGAAAAAAAGGGAAACAGAAUUAUUCUAUUAAAGGUUAAUGAAAGUUCAAUCUACCUAAUAAUGGAAAGAGAACUAGUUAAUGGCUUAUAUGCCCCCAGAUACAUUUGAAGUUCUGGCUUCUCUGCUUUCUCUCUCAUAUCAUCUCAUGUGGUCAUUCCAGCAGCUGCCUGCAUUGAGGAGUCAUAUAUUAUAGUUUGGAUUUGAAACGCCUCCAAGAAAGCUCAUGUGUUAAAAACAUGAUCUCCGAAGUAGCAACAUUCAAAGGUGGGGCUUUUAAGCAGUGAUUGAAUCAUAGGGCUCUUGAGUUCAUAAGUGGAUUAAUCUAUGUGAUAAAUUAAUCUAUUGACAGCUGAAUGGACUUCUGGGAGGUGGGACCUAGUUGGAGGAAGUAGGUCACUGAGGGCAUGGCCUAGGGGACUACAUCUAUCCCUGGCCACUUCCCCUCUCAGUCUAUCUCUCUCUCUCUGCUUCCUGGCUGCCAUGAGCUGAGCAGUUUCCCUCUGCCGUGACCUUCUGCCACGAUGUUUCUGCAAUGGACUUGGCCAACUAUGGACUGAACCUCUGAAACCCUGAGCCAAAAUAUAUCUUUACUCCUCCAAGUUGUUCUUGACAGCAUAAGGUAAAUGUUUUGCUCCACCAUGAUGUGAUGAUGCAUUACCACAGGCCCUAAAGUCCCAGGUCCAGUCUUCAUGGAAUAAAUCUCCAAAUCUGAUCAACACAGCAUCAGACCAUUUCUCUACGAAAUGUGACAAUGAGGAAGUCUCUUCCACCCUCUCUGGCAUAGAAAUGGGAUAUAAUGCCCUAGAAGAGCAGACUCUACUAACAGAUCUUCGGUAAUUCAGCUCAGGGCUCUCUAACUCUGCCAUUAAGAGAAGAUGAUACAAUGUAGGAAGUUCAAAGGCAAGACAACUUCCUUUUCUUUUCCUCCAUAUCUCAGAGCCAUCCCGUACCAAGUAUUUAUCGCCGGCUCCUGUCCAUAGCACUCUCAGAAGGUAUUUAUGUGGUUAUAAACUGACCACAGAAUGGUGCAACUUAAAAUCAGGAUGCUUUUAUGUGACGCUGCAAAUAAAAGACAGAACUCAAAGUUUAUGUCUUUCUUGGCUCCUUGCAGCUGGGAUAAGUUUCUCAGCUCUAAUCUCACACAAGGUCUCUGUGGCUGUGCAUGAAUCUAUCAAGAUGGAAAAAUUAAGUCCCCUUGAAUCACUGCAGCUUUCUGGUGUGGCUCAGCUUGGUGGUGUAGAAUUAAAAUCAUGCUCACUGCUUACACAGUAUCGCAGAUACUCAGCAAACCAGUGUGACUUGAUUUCUAAUCUCCAUACCUAUAUUCGUAUAGGAAAUACCUUUUUAUUUCUCUUCACUUUUUCUCCUAAGAGCAAAACCUUUGGAUCUCAUUUGUUUUAAAACUGACUAACUGCUUCAUGGGAUCUUUCAAGAAAGAAUAAAACCCAAUGAAGACCAGCAAGGUCUAUUUAGAAGGCGCCAUUUUCUUCUCAUGCCACACUUUGGGAGUCUUGGCCAAUUGGGAAUCCAGGAAGCCUGUCAAAUUUAUUUAAUUAAAGUGAAAAGAAAGAAAAUCUCCUUUAACAUUCCGAAUCAACAGGAGUCUAAUGAGUCAUGUUGGAUCCUGGAGUUGAGACACAGUAGGGCAUUUUCUGAGCUAAUUUGCUUCAUUAAUAUUCAAAGGAUGUAGAUUACCAGAAUUUUCUAGGAGACUUCAGGGCCAAAAAACCGUCAACAAGAAAGUUUUAUUUUGCAUGUGAUGUUAAACAGAUGUUCCACAUCGAACCAACUGUAGCAUUUAAUAUAAAAUGUUGUCAAUUAGAAUAAUUA
Non-coding RNA from Ictidomys tridecemlineatus (thirteen-lined ground squirrel), 2922 nucleotides. Lineage: Eukaryota; Metazoa; Chordata; Mammalia; Rodentia; Sciuridae. The record is from RefSeq and is a predicted model, not a curated record.